This 397-nucleotide ribosomal RNA is filed under the name uncultured bacterium. Its description in RNAcentral is "partial 16S ribosomal RNA". It matches the Rfam family "Bacterial small subunit ribosomal RNA", at positions 523 to 918 of the family's 1533-position model. The record is from RNAcentral.
AUACGUAGGUGACAAGCGUUAUCCGGAUUUACUGGGCGUAAAGGGCGUGUAGGCGGUCUUGCAAGUCAGAAGUGAAAUUCCUGAGCUCAACUCGGGCGCUGCUUCUGAAACUGCAGGACUUGAGUGCUGGAGGGGAUAGCGGAAUUCCUAGUGGAGCGGUAAAAUGCGCAGAUAUUAGGAAGAACACCGGUGGCGAAGGCGGCUAUCUGGACAGUAACUGACGCUGAGGCGCGAAAGCGUGGGGAGCAAACAGGAUUAGAUACCCUGGUAGUCCACGCCGUAAACGAUGAUUACUAGGUGUAGGGGGUAUCGACCCCUUCUGUGCCGGAGUUAACACAAUAAGUAAUCCACCUGGGGAGUACGGCCGCAAGGUUGAAACUUAAAGGAAUUGGCGGGG